GUUCCUGUAGUUAAACUUGAUAACGGCGGUUUUUCAGACCGCAGUUCUUGGGGAAGCACCGGGCAGGAAUU
Molecule: transfer RNA, 71 nt
Filed under: Orthonyx spaldingii (northern chowchilla)
Lineage: Eukaryota; Metazoa; Chordata; Aves; Passeriformes; Orthonychidae
Description: tRNA-Glu
Source: RNAcentral